Molecule: ribosomal RNA, 396 nt
Filed under: uncultured bacterium
Lineage: Bacteria
Description: partial 16S ribosomal RNA
Rfam family: Bacterial small subunit ribosomal RNA
Source: RNAcentral
CCUACGGGAGGCAGCAGUGAGGAAUAUUGGUCAAUGGGCGAGAGCCUGAACCAGCCAAGUCGCGUGAAGGAAGACGGCCCUAUGGGUUGUAAACCUCUUUUGUCGGGGAACAAAAUGCGCCACGUGUGGCGUUCUGUGUGUACCUGAAGAAAAAGCAUCGGCUAACUCCGUGCCAGCAGCCGCGGUAAUACGGAGGAUGCGAGCGUUAUCCGGAUUUAUUGGGUUUAAAGGGUGCGUAGGCGGUAGGUUAAGUCAGCGGUAAAAUUUGGCGGCUCAACCUCGCCGAGCCGUUGAAACUGGCAGUCUUGAGUGGGCGAGAAGUAUGCGGAAGGCGUGGUGUAGCGGUGAAAUGCAUAGAUAUCGCGCAGAACUCCGAUUGCGAAGGCAGCAUACCGG